AGGUGCGAUCAUACCAGCAUUAAUGCACCAGAUCCCAUCAGAGCUCCGUAAUCAUACGUGCUUGGGCGAGAGUAGUACUAGGAUGGGUGGCCUCUUAGGAAGUCCUCGUGUUGCACCUC
Ribosomal RNA from Arachis stenosperma, 119 nucleotides. Lineage: Eukaryota; Viridiplantae; Streptophyta; Magnoliopsida; Fabales; Fabaceae. The record is from RefSeq and is a predicted model, not a curated record.